Molecule: long non-coding RNA, 227 nt
Filed under: Lathyrus oleraceus (garden pea)
Lineage: Eukaryota; Viridiplantae; Streptophyta; Magnoliopsida; Fabales; Fabaceae
Description: Pisum sativum (pea) long non-coding RNA (PSAT_LNC034844)
Source: RNAcentral
AAAUGAAACUGAUAUGAAUUAAUUAAAAUAAAAGGAUUAAAUGGAAAAAUAAAAAAACAAAAAAAACAAGGGUCAUUUGAUCUCCCUCAUUAAUUGAUGUGGCAAAUCAGAUGGCUAGGAGUGAGCAUUCCACACGUACAUGAGUCAACUGUGCCACAUGCUGGGUAACCACAAUAAACGCGUGAGAUUAGAACAUGAGACUCAGAUCAAAUAGUCCUGGACAAGCC